AUGAAUUCAAAAUCCGCUUUCCUUCUGAUCGUGGUGGCAGUUAGCACCACGGCCAUGGUGCACGGCCACCCUGCCGCUAGCACUCCGGCGGCACGGUUCUGGGAGCAGGCCCUCUCCGGCACGCCGAUGCCGGAGGUGCUAGCUGAUUUUGUUCAGAAAGGAAUGGAUCUGUCACCGCUCGUGGAGCACUACUCUGCACAGCCUAGUAUCGGCAUGUGCACACUCUUCAACACUAUCUGCGACGCGCGCACGGUGGCGGAGACCGGCAUCUUCUUCCACGAGGCCGAGCUACAUCCGGGCAGCACCAUGACCCUGUAUUUCCCAGCGGAGGCGGAGACAGCCAUCCUCCCGCACGACAUCGCCGGCAAGGUCCCCUUCGAGAACCUAAGCGACGUCCUCUCCACGUUCCACAUCUCACCAGGCUCCGCUGAGGCUGCGCAAGUGGAGGACACCCUGCGCAAGUGUCAGCAGCCGCCAAUCGCCGGUGAGAUAAAAGCCUGCACCAUGUCGCUAGAGAGCACUGUAAAGGCCGCCAUGGAGAUGCUCGGCACCACCAUCCAGCAGGGUGGUGGUGGUGGUGACGUGUGGGCGGCCACGUCGACGCUCCCCCGCGGUGGCCUGCUACCACACCGGGAGUACAUUGUCCAGGAGGUCACCAAGCUAGAGGGCACUGGCUACGUGGCCUGCCACAAGGUGCCGUUCCCAUACGCCGUCUUCCAUUGUCACAUCGCACAUACGGGGUAUAUAGGUUACAAGGUCACCCUCCACGGCCGCGGCGACAACGAGGGCCCUGUGGUUUCCUUGCUGGCGUUCUGCCAUUUCGACACCUCCCACUGGAAUCCGGCACACCCGGCGUUCCAGAUACUGAAGACCCACCCUGGUGCCAGUACGUCGGUGUGCCACUUCAUGUCGUAUGGCAAUCUCGCGUUCAUCAAGAAGGCACGCACAGCCUAG
Molecule: ribosomal RNA, 954 nt
Filed under: Triticum aestivum (bread wheat)
Lineage: Eukaryota; Viridiplantae; Streptophyta; Magnoliopsida; Poales; Poaceae
Description: partial small subunit ribosomal RNA
Source: RNAcentral